CUGGGCUACGGAGACAUGUACCCCCAGACGUGGUCAGGCAUGCUAGUGGGGGCGCUGUGUGCGCUCGCAGGGGUGCUGACCAUCGCCAUGCCCGUGCCUGUCAUCGUGAACAAU
Regulatory RNA element from Monodelphis domestica (gray short-tailed opossum), 114 nucleotides. It matches the Rfam family "Potassium channel RNA editing signal". Rfam says of the family: This family represents a group of sequences related to the human potassium channel Kv1.1 hairpin element which directs the efficient modification of an adenosine to inosine by an adenosine deaminase acting on RNA (ADAR). The record is from Rfam. Lineage: Eukaryota; Metazoa; Chordata; Mammalia; Didelphimorphia; Didelphidae.